UAAUACCCUAUAGGUUACAGAUGCUGGAAUGCUCUGUAAUCAAAAGUUCCGGCGCCCUAGGAUGGAUCUGCGGCCGAUUAGGUUGUUGUUGGGGUAAUGGCCCAACAAGCCAGUAAUCGGUACGGGUUGUGGGAGCAAGAGCCCGGAGUUGGAUCCUGAGACACGAAUCCAGGCCCUACGGGGCGCAGCAGGCGCGAAAACUUUACAAUGCGGGCAACCGUGAUAAGGGAACCUCGAGUGCCUGUAAAUGCAGGCUGUUCAGAUGCCUAAAACACAUCUGGAGAAAGGGCCGGGCAAGACCGGUGCCAGCCGCCGCGGUAAUACCGGCGGCUCGAGUGGUGGCCACUUUUAUUGGGCUUAAAGCGUUCGUAGCUGGGUUGUUAAGUCUCUUGGGAAAUCUGGCGGCUUAACCGUCAGGCGUCUAAGGGAUACUGGCAAUCUUGGAACCGGGAGAGGUGAGGGGUACUUCGGGGGUAGGAGUGAAAUCCUGGUAUCCUCGAGGGACCACCUGUGGCGAAGGCGCCUCACCAGAACGGCUUCGACAGUGAGGGACGAAAGCUGGGGGAGCAAACCGGAUUAGAUACCCGGGUAGUCCCAGCCGUAAACUAUGCGCGUUAGGUGUAU
RNAcentral lists this ribosomal RNA (624 nucleotides) under uncultured archaeon. RNAcentral's name for it is "bacterial SSU rRNA". It matches the Rfam family "Archaeal small subunit ribosomal RNA", at positions 147 to 776 of the family's 1478-position model. The record is from RNAcentral.